AGCCAUGUGAUAAGCACAAAGCGAACUAUUCUUUCGCCUUUUACUAAAGAAUGCCGUGUGCUCGUCACUUAGCAAUGAUAUUGAAAUAAAAAGUAAUGAAUAUUAUAAUUUUUUUAAUU
Molecule: non-coding RNA, 119 nt
Organism: Lupinus albus (white lupine)
Lineage: Eukaryota; Viridiplantae; Streptophyta; Magnoliopsida; Fabales; Fabaceae
Source: the annotation of a GenBank genome assembly